CACCGAGUGAAACCCUGUUACAAAAUCAAAAAAUGCUGGGCACGGUGGCACACACCUAUAAUCCCAGCAACUCCGGAGGCUGAGGCAGGAGGAUGGCAAGUUUGUGGUCAGGUAUGUCCCUAGCCCCAGAACUUUGAAUUUUAAUUGAAAUUUGAUGGGAAGCCAUUGGAGGGCUUGAGGCAGGAAGUGUCAUAAAAUGAUAAUGUUUUUAAAGGACCACUUCUAUUGUUGUGUGACUAAAAUAAAGUAUAGGGAGUAAAGGUGGAAAUGGGGAGACCAGUUGGAGGCUAUUGCAGGAUUUGAGGAUGACACGUGAUGGCUUGGGACACAGUGAAGGGCAGAGGGACUCCCUAGACAUUUUGAAAAUGGAGCCAACAGAUUGAAUGUGGGUUGUGAGCAAGACAGAAAAGUGGUGAUGGGUGGGGGGUUUAAUCAGAGCCGCUCGGUGAGUGGUAGUUGUUUCCUGAGCUGGGAAAGGCGUGAGCAGAUUUGGGGUGGAAGAGAAGGUGGUUCACUGUGGUCGAGGUGAAACUUGAGAUGCCUGUUGCAUAUUCAACCAUAGUUAAGGAAAUAGCUCUGGGGCUUUUGGGGGAGAAUUUGGAACCAGUCAAACGUCAAAUGUGGAGAUAAGCAUUUGAGGAGUGGGCAGAGAGAAGAGGGAAGCCAAGAUGAUUUAGGUUUUGAGAUUGGGGAAGUGGAACUGCCAGAAAUAGAAAUGGAGAAGUCAGGGGCUACCCUUGUGUCCACUUUGUGAGUCCCAAGGCCCCCGUCUCCUGUGUACCUCCAGGGAAUGCCCAGAACACCCUGGCCCAGCCCACAGUGUGGCUCACCAUCGUGCUCACCACGGUCGUCUGCAUCAUGCCUGUGGUGGCCUUUCGGUUCCUCAGGCUCAGCCUGAAGCCAGACCUGUCUGACACGGUGAGCCGUCCUGGGCUGUCCGCUCCGGGGGCGGAGACCCUUGGCCGGAAGGGCUGUCUCAGGCACCGGUGUGGCUGUCUCGGGACUGUGGCUUGGGGGUUGGUGGUGGUCCUAAGCUGCACAGGCGUGGAGGGUCCUGUGCUGGCCUGUCCCAGGGCCCCGGCUCCCUUCUCCGUGGUGGCGUGUCACACCGCUGGCUCUUCCCGUGUCCCCCAGGUCCGCUACACGCAGCUGGUGAGGAAAAAGCAGAAAGCGCAGCACCGCUGCAUGCGGCGGGCCGGCCGCACGGGGUCGCGGCGCUCGGGCUACGCCUUCUCGCACCAGGAGGGCUUCGGGGAGCUCAUCAUGUCUGGCAAGAACAUGCGGCUCAGCUCCCUGGCGCUGUCCAGCUUCACCGCCCGCUCCAGCUCCAGCUGGAUCGAGAGCCUGCGCAGGAAGAAGAGCGACAGCGCCGGCAGCCCCGGCGGCGGGGCCGAGAAGCCCCUCAAGGGGUGAAGACCUGCGGUCACAGGACACUCCGUGCUGGUGACCAGAGCAGCUGGCCAGUGGGGCGCCAAGGGAACAGUAUCUCGAACUGUUGGUCCUCGCUCUCUGCCUCCCGUCUCCUCUGGUAGCAAAAAAAUAUAAAAUUAAAA
Molecule: long non-coding RNA, 1553 nt
Filed under: Marmota monax (woodchuck)
Lineage: Eukaryota; Metazoa; Chordata; Mammalia; Rodentia; Sciuridae
Source: RNAcentral